GUGAAUCAUCGAAUUUUUGAACGCAAAUUGCACUCUCUUCUGAGAGUAUGCCUGUUUGCGUGUCAGCCUAAAAAAAAUCGACAUAGUUGCUGUUACGCGGUAACAUUCGUCGGAAAUUGGGUCAUCUUAAACCUUUGGGUUUAAGCGGUUCAAAAUUUUUUUUCGGAUUCCAAGACCGUUCCUAAGUUUUUAUUUACUUAUACUUUUC
RNAcentral lists this unclassified non-coding RNA (208 nucleotides) under Glomus sp. RNAcentral's name for it is "partial contains 5.8S ribosomal RNA and internal transcribed spacer 2". The stretch from base 1 to 65 matches the Rfam family "5.8S ribosomal RNA", at positions 84 to 154 of the family's 154-position model. Lineage: Eukaryota; Fungi; Glomeromycota; Glomeromycetes; Glomerales; Glomeraceae. The record is from RNAcentral.